This 440-nucleotide ribosomal RNA is filed under the name uncultured bacterium. RNAcentral describes it as "partial 16S ribosomal RNA". It matches the Rfam family "Bacterial small subunit ribosomal RNA", at positions 338 to 795 of the family's 1533-position model. The record is from RNAcentral.
CCUACGAGGGGCAGCAGUGGGGAAUCUUGCACAAUGGGGGGAACCCUGAUGCAGCAACGCCGCGUGGGUGAAGAAGUACUUCGGUAUGUAAAGCCCUGUCAGCAGGGAAGAAAAUGACGGUAACUGACCAAGAAGCCCCGGAUAACUACGUGCCAGCAGCCGAGGUAAUACGUAGGGGGCGAGCGUUAUCCGGAUUUAAGGGGUGUAAAGGGAGCGUAGACGGCAAGGCAAGUCUGGAGUGAAAGCCCGUGGCUAAACCACGGGACUGCUUUGGAAACUGGGUGGCUGGAGUGCAGGAGGGGGAAGCGGAAUUCCUAGUGUAGCGGUGGAAUGCGUAGAUAUUAGGAGGAACACCGGUGGCGAAGGCGGCUUACUGGACUGUAACUGACGUUGAGGCUCGAAGGCGUGGGGAGCAAACAGGAUUAGAUACCCUAGUAGUC